UACAGCAAAACCCACCAGCCAACUCCACU
This 29-nucleotide non-coding RNA is filed under the name Mus musculus (house mouse). The record is from RNAcentral. Lineage: Eukaryota; Metazoa; Chordata; Mammalia; Rodentia; Muridae.